UACGUAGGGGGCGAGCGUUGUCCGGAUUCAUUGGGCGUAAAGCGCGCGUAGGCGGCUUCGCAAGUCGGCCGUGAAAUCUCCGGGCUCAACUCGGAGGGGUCGGGCGAGACUGCGAGGCUCGAGGUGGGCAGAGGGCAGUGGAAUUCCGGGUGUAGUGGUGGAAUGCGUAGAGAUCCGGAGGAACACCAGUGGCGAAGGCGGGUUGCUGGGCUGACACUGACGCUGAGGCGCGAAAGCUAGGGGAGCGAACGGG
RNAcentral lists this ribosomal RNA (253 nucleotides) under uncultured bacterium. RNAcentral's name for it is "partial 16S ribosomal RNA". It matches the Rfam family "Bacterial small subunit ribosomal RNA", at positions 524 to 776 of the family's 1533-position model. The record is from RNAcentral.